UUGGGCAAGUCUGGUGCCAGCAGCCGCGGUAAUUCCAGCUCCAAUAGCGUAUAUUAAAGUUGUUGCAGUUAAAAAGCUCGUAGUUGAACCUUGGGCCUGGCUGGCCGGUCCGCCUCACCGCGUGUACUGGUCCGGCCGGGCCUUUCCUUCUGGGGAACCUCAUGCCCUUCACUGGGCGUGUUGGGGAACCAGGACUUUUACUUUGAAAAAAUUAGAGUGUUCAAAGCAGGCCUUUGCUCGAAUACAUUAGCAUGGAAUAAUAGAAUAGGACGUGUGGUUCUAUUUUGUUGGUUUCUAGGACCGCCGUAAUGAUUAAUAGGGAUAGUCGGGGGCGUCAGUAUUCAAUCGUCAGAGGUGAAAUUCUUGGAUUGAUUGAAGACUAACUACUGCGAAAGCAUUUGCCAAGGAUGUUUUCAUUAAUCAGUGAACGAAAGUUAGGGGAUCGAAGACGAUCAGAUACCGUCGUAGUCUUAACCAUAAACUAUGCCGACUAGGGAUCGGACGGUGUUAGUAUUUUGACCCGUUCGGCGCCUUACGGGAAAC
Molecule: ribosomal RNA, 543 nt
Filed under: uncultured Ascomycota
Lineage: Eukaryota; Fungi; Ascomycota
Description: SSU rRNA
Rfam family: Eukaryotic small subunit ribosomal RNA
Source: RNAcentral